Molecule: transfer RNA, 76 nt
Filed under: Erysipelotrichaceae bacterium
Lineage: Bacteria; Bacillati; Bacillota; Erysipelotrichia; Erysipelotrichales; Erysipelotrichaceae
Description: tRNA-Arg
Rfam family: tRNA
About the family: Transfer RNA (tRNA) molecules are approximately 80 nucleotides in length. Their secondary structure includes four short double-helical elements and three loops (D, anti-codon, and T loops). Further hydrogen bonds mediate the characteristic L-shaped molecular structure. tRNAs have two regions of fundamental functional importance: the anti-codon, which is responsible for specific mRNA codon recognition, and the 3' end, to which the tRNAs corresponding amino acid is attached (by aminoacyl-tRNA synthetases). tRNAs cope with the degeneracy of the genetic code in two manners: having more than one tRNA (with a specific anti-codon) for a particular amino acid; and 'wobble' base-pairing, i.e. permitting non-standard base-pairing at the 3rd anti-codon position.
Source: RNAcentral
GCGCCUAUAGCUCAAUGGAAAGAGUGCUUGAUUCCGAUUCAAUAGGUUGUGAGUUCGAUUCUCACUAGGCGCUCCA